This 158-nucleotide ribosomal RNA is filed under the name Hemicaloosia guangzhouensis. RNAcentral's name for it is "5.8S ribosomal RNA". It matches the Rfam family "5.8S ribosomal RNA". From Rfam's summary of the family: 5.8S ribosomal RNA (5.8S rRNA) is a component of the large subunit of the eukaryotic ribosome. It is transcribed by RNA polymerase I as part of the 45S precursor that also contains 18S and 28S rRNA. Lineage: Eukaryota; Metazoa; Nematoda; Chromadorea; Rhabditida; Hemicycliophoridae. The record is from RNAcentral.
UUAUUCUUGCCGGUGGAUCACUCGGCUCGUAGGUCGAUGAAGAUCGCAGCCAAAUGCGAUAGCUAGUGCGAACUGCAGAUAUUCUGAGCACUAAGAUGUCGAAUAUAAAUUAUGCCUUGGGACCUUCAUCCCUUGGCACGCCUGGUUCAGGGUCGUUC